UUUGGGAGGCUGAGGCGGGUGGAUCACGAGGUCAAGAGAUCGAGACCAUCUUGGUCAACAUGGUGAAACCCCGUCUCUACUAAAAAUACAAAAAUUAGCUGGGCAUGGUGGCGCACGCCUGUGGUCCGUCCCAGCUACUCAGGAGGCUGAGACAGGAGAAUUGCUUGAACCCAGGAGGCGGAGGUUGCGGUGAGCCGAGAUCGCACCUGGCACUCCAGCCUGGGUAACAAGAGUGAAACUCCGUCUCAACAAAAAAAUUUGAAUUUCUCUCGUGGUAGUCUCAUGAGAUCCUCUCUCCACUCUUUGCAUUGAUCCUCGGUGUAUUCCAGCCUCGACGCCAACACACGUGAUGACGUCCGCCUGGGGCAGGUAAGGGAAGGGACACGAGGAGGCGCUGUCACCUCAUUCUGUGAGCCGCAGCGCCCUUGGCCCUGCUGGUCUUGUAUCAUUUCAGUGAAAGCCACUCCAGACGUUUUUUUCUUGAGACAGAGUCUCGCUCAGUCCCCACGCUGGAGUGCAGUGGCGGGAUCUCGGCUCACUGCAACCUCCGCCUACUGGGUUCAAGCGAUUCUUCUGCCCCAGCCUCCCGAGGAGCUGGGAAUACAGGCGCCUACCAUCACGUCUGGCUAAUUCUGGUCUUUUUUAGUAGAGAAAAGGCUUUACCAUGUUGGUCAGGCUGGUCUCGAACUCCUCACUUCAAGUGAUCCACCCGCCUCAGCCUCCCAAAGUGCUGGGAUUACAGGCAUGAGCCACUGCGCUCGGCUGUCACUCCAGACUUUGAUGGGGGCCACACUCGGGGGUGUAAAUUAGGAUCCUCACUGAAGGGGCGGGACCAUGGGAGGCUUUUUCAUGGCCCCUUGGUCUUGGAUUUUCAUCCGCGCGGCGGAGCCCGUUUCCAUCGGAACCACCCAGAGGCGGGCGCUGCCUUCCUGGGGUGACAAAGCAGCAGGAAGUGUUUUCGGAUCCUAGAAUCCGUGGGCGGCUGGUGGGAGGGGCUGAGGCACAUUUCCCUAUUUGCCGGGUUCCGAAUCCACCGUGGUGCUGUUUCAAGCGAGUUGGAUUCCAGAUCGCGCUCCAUCCUGGACUCGGAAUUCCUGCCCGCGGGUCUGCAUUUUACAGCGUUAGGUGUGAGUGCCCCGCAGCUGGAGACCAGAAGUCGAAAGGCAGCUCCACCCUCCCCAGCCCGCAGCGCAGUUAUUCCGUUUCUGUGUCAGUAAAACUUGUCAUUUUCCGUAGACCAGGGCGGGGUGACGGGUGAUCCCAGUCGUCGCAGUGAACUUCAGGCUGCAGAAUUCUAAACGCUUGUGGACGCCGAGCGCAGCUCCGCCCUGGGUUACUUAAGCGACCACGCUGGGCUGUUUCUCUUUCUUUUCCGGACCCAGCAGUGGAGCCUCAAGUCUGUGAGGAGGAAGUCGCUGCUGUGCUCUGCCUCCCUCCCCAAGGCCUGUGUUGCCUGACAAGGAGGACCCUGAGGGCCACCACACCAGAAGCAUCUGGCUUCUCAUCUGCCAACCUCACACUGACCUAGCUGCAGGAAGGGAAGAAACUGACCCUGGACUCAAGACCCAAAGGGACCCGACUCAGGGAGAUGAGACAUACCAAGUCUGAGCAGCUGUGGGAGUCCUUCCAGAGAGGAGCUGAGAUACACCUGCCUGGAGGGGCUCCUGGGCCUGGAGGGGCUCCUCAGUGUGACUGGGUGAGGUGUUUUCAGAGGACCAGGGUUGAGAUACUGGGGAUGUCCUCAGUCACCCUUUGACUCACGCAGCACUCCUCAUUUGGAAGUUUUUCUUGCUCUAACCUCCUUCCUUCUGCACCUUCUGCCCCAGCCCCUAGCUCUGGCCUCUCUCUCUCCUCUUCUACCCUCUAGUGGGUAAUGACUCACUUCCCACUGAGGAGUGAACUCUAGAUGAGAGUCUGGACUCUUAGCGAGGUUAGGAGAAGGAGAAGGCUUAUGGGUCAGGUCGUGGGAGGGAGAAUGGGCACAGCCAGAGCAGAAGUGAAAGGGUUGGGGGAGGCGAUAAAGACAGAUGUUUCCAUAUCAUUUUUCUUUCAUGGUCCAAGGGAACUGUCCUUUCCCCAGGCCCCGGGAAGUGAAAAGAGAAGCAGGAACAGUGAAAUACUCCAUAGGAAAGAAAAAUAUAAGUAAUCCCUCCAGCUGUCUCUCUCUCUUUUUUUUUUUUUUUUUGCCUAUUUUGGCAAAUUUGUAAGUGAAAUUUGUUACCAAGACAUGAAAAUUUUUUUUUUUGGGUUUUUUAUAUUUUAUUUCAUUUAUUUUUUUUUAUUGCAUUUUAGGUUUUGGGGUACAUGUGCAGAGCAUGCAAUACCGUUGCAUAGGUACACACAUGGCAGUGUGUUUUGUUUGUUUUCUCCCCUUCACCCACAUUUGGUAUUUCUCCCCAGGAAUCCCUCCCCACCUCCCCCUCCCACUGGCCCUCCCCUUUCCCCCCUAUAGACCCCAGUGUUUAGUACUCCCCUCUCUGUGUCCAUGUGUUCUCAUUUUUCAUUACCCGCCUGUGAGUGAGAAUAUGCGGUGUUUCAUUUUCUGUUCUUGUGUCAGUUUGCUGAGAAUGAUGUUCUCCAGAUUCAUCCAUGUCCCUACAAACAACACAAACUCAUCAUUUCUGAUUGCUGCAUAAUAUUCCAUGGUGUAUAUGUGCCACAUUUUCCCAAUCCAGUCUAUCAUCGAUGGGCAUUUGGGUUGAUUCCAGGUCUUUGCUAUUGUAAACAGUGCUGCAAUGAACAUUCGUGUGCAUGUGUCCUUGUAGUAGAACGAUUUAUAGUCCUUUGGAUAUAUACCCAGUAAUGGGAUUGCUGGGUCAAAUGGGAUUUCUAUUUCUAAGGCCUUGAGGAAUCGCCACACUGUCUUCCACAAUGGUUGGACUAAUUUACACUCCCACCAACAGUGUAAAAGUGUUCCUUUUUCUCCACAUCCUCUCCAGCAUCUGUUGUCUCCAGAUUUUUUAAUGAUCGCCAUUCUAACUGGCGUGAGAUGGUAUCUCAAUGUGGUUUUGAUUUGCAUCUCUCUGAUGACCAGCAACGAUGAGCAUUUUUUCAUAUGAUUGUUGGCCUCAUAUAUGUCUUCUUUCGUAAAGUGUCUGUUCAUAUCCUUUGAUCACUUUUGAAUGGACUUGUUUGUUUUUUUCCUGUAAAUCUGUUUGAGUUCUUUGUAAAUUCUGGAUAUCAGCCCUUUGUCAGAUGGGUAAACUGCAAAAAUUUUUUCCCAUUCUGUUGGUUGCCGAUUCACACUAGAGACUGUUUCUUUUGCUGUGCAGAAGCUGUGGAGUUUCAUUAGGUCCCAUUUGUCUAUUUUGGCUUUUGUUGCCAAUGCUUUUGGUGUUUUGUUCAUGAAGUCCUUGCCUACUCCUAUGUCCUGGAUGGUUUUGCCUAGAUUUCCUUCUAGGGCUUUUAUGGUGCCAGGUCUUAUGUUUAAGUCUUUAAUCCAUCUGGAGUUAAUUUUGGUGUAAGGUGUCAGGAAGGGGUCCAGUUUCUGCUUUCUACACAUGGCUAGCCAGUUUUCCCAGCACCAUUUGUUGAACAGGGAAUCCUUUCCCCAUUGCUUGUUUUUGUCAGAUUUAUCAAAGAUUGUAUGGUUGUAGCUAUGUUGUGUUGCCUCUGAUGCCUCUGUUCUGUUCCAUUGAUCUAUAUCUCUGUUUUGGUACCAGUACCAUGCUGUUUUUAUUACUGUAGCCUUAUAGUAUAGUUUGAAAUCUGGUAGUGUGAUGCCCCCCGCUGUGUUCUUUUUGCUUAGAAUUGACUUGGCUAUGCGGGCUCUCUUUUGGUUCCAUAUGAAGUUCAUGGUGACAUGAAAAUCUUAUUAUAAGAAAGUCCCUAAAUAUUUGAGAAUAAAAUUAUCAAUAUCUCAGCUCUGCAGACUGAAAAAGCAAAAGCUUUACAGAAUAAAAUCAUGCUUGCAAAACUCCUCUAAGGCAUGUCAAAGGCUGCACUGAAUAAGCUCUAAAUUAGUGCUGAAAUGACAUUUAUUUGCCUGUGUGAGUUCAAGCAGAUGUUGGAAUUGAGGCAGGUUGGGUAAUGAAGAAAGUAACCAUGUCCUCGGGACAUAGCGAUGGUGAUGACCAUACAACCAACAUAGUAAGCUCCGGCAUUCGCCUUGUAGUCCGGCUCAUUCAAGCAAAGCUAUCUCCAGCAGGGAAUUUACCAGGCAAAGAACAUGUGCAUUUGGAUUUCACCUGUACUCAGACUGACCCUUUGCUCAUCACAGGAGUGAAAAACACACCCCCGGGUGGAGAUUUAAGAUGCUAAUGAGACAUGAGAUGUGUGAACAAGCAUGUACAGCCACUGCACUCGUGCAUGCCGAGGACCUCCCAGAACAUGCUUGCUAGUAACUUCUCUUCCCACCCACCUCCUAUGAAUAAUCAUGUAAGACUCCUGUGCCUGGCUCAGUGGCUCACGCCUGUAAUCCCAGCACUUUGGGAGGCCAAGGUGGGUGGAUCACUAGGUCAAGAGAUCGAGACCAUCCUGGUCAACAUGGUGAAACCCCGUCUCUACUAAAAAUUUUUUGUAAUUAGCUGGGCAUGGUGGCACGUGCCUAUCAUCCCAGCUACUCAGGAGGCUGAUGCAGGAGAAUUGCCUGAACCCAGGAGGUGGAGGUUGUGGUGAGCCGAGAUCGUGGCAUUGCACUUCAGCCUGGGUAACAAGAGCUAAACUCGGUCUCAAAAAAAAAAAAAAAAGACUCCUGUAAAGGGAGUUUCUCCAGCAGCAGUCAAUGCCGACUCAUCCUUAGGAGCAGCCUGCCUUCAAUCCUUUCCCUCUCAGGGUACGGUCUAUUUUGGACUUAACUUUCAAAAUGUUAUUUUUUCUUUCUUUCUUUUUGUGUUGUUUUUUAUUUUUCCUUUGUAAUAAAUUGCUUUGGGGCCGGGCGCGGUGGCUCAUGCCUGUAAUCCCAACACUUUAGGAGGCCGAGGCGGGUGGAUCACGAGGUCAAGAGAUCGAGACCAUCCUGGUCAACAUGGUGAAACCCCGCCUCUACUAAAAAUACAAAAAAUUAGCUGGGCAUGGUGGUGAGUGCCUGUAAUCCCAGCUACUCAGGAGGCUGAGGCAGGAGAAUUGCCUGAACCCAGGAGGCGGAGGUUGCGGUGAGCUGAGAUCGCGCCAUUGCACUCCAGCCUGGGCAACAAGAGGGAAACUCCUCCUCAAAAUAAAUAAAUAAAUUGCUUUGUACUUGA
Molecule: non-coding RNA, 5183 nt
Organism: Callithrix jacchus (white-tufted-ear marmoset)
Lineage: Eukaryota; Metazoa; Chordata; Mammalia; Primates; Cebidae
Source: RefSeq, a predicted model, not a curated record